RNAcentral lists this ribosomal RNA (497 nucleotides) under uncultured bacterium. Its description in RNAcentral is "partial 16S ribosomal RNA". It matches the Rfam family "Bacterial small subunit ribosomal RNA", at positions 899 to 1397 of the family's 1533-position model. The record is from RNAcentral.
ACUCAAAGGAAUAGACGGGGGCCCGCACAAGCAGCGGAGCAUGUGGCUUAAUUCGACGCAACGCGAAGAACCUUACCAAGGCUUGACAUACGCCGGAAACGUCCAGAGAUGGGCGCCCCCUUGUGGUCGGUGUACAGGUGGUGCAUGGUUGUCGUCAGCUCGUGUCGUGAGAUGUUGGGUUAAGUCCCGCAACGAGCGCAACCCUUGUUCUGUGUUGCCAGCGAGUAAUGUCGGGGACUCACAGGAGACUGCCGGGGUCAACUCGGAGGAAGGUGGGGAUGACGUCAAAUCAUCAUGCCCCUUAUGUCUUGGGCUGCACACGUGCUACAAUGGCCGGUACAAAGGGCUGCGAUACCGUGAGGUGGAGCGAAUCCCAAAAAGCCGGUCUCAGUUCGGAUUGGGGUCUGCAACUCGACCCCAUGAAGUUGGAGUUGCUAGUAAUCGCAGAUCAGCAUGCUGCGGUGAAUACGUUCCCGGGCCUUGCACACACCGCCCGU